AACGAACGCUGGCGGCAGGCCUAACACAUGCAAGUCGAACGAAGUUUUCGGACUUAGUGGCGCACGGGUGAGUGACGCGUAGGAAUCUACCUCAUAGUUCGGGAUAACAGUUGGAAACGACUGCUAAUACCGGAUACGCCCUUAGGGGGAAAGAAAUUCGCUAUGAGAUGAGCCUGCGUUAGAUUAGGUAGUUGGUGGGGUAAAGGCCUACCAAGCCGACGAUCUAUAGCUGGUCUGAGAGGAUGAUCAGCCACACUGGGACUGAGACACGGCCCAGACUCCUACGGGAGGCAGCAGUGGGGAAUAUUGGGCAGUGGGCGCAAGCCUGACCCAGCCAUGCCGCGUGAGUGAUGACGGCCUUAGGGUUGUAAAGCUCUUUUAGUGGUGAGGAUGAUGACUGUAACCACAGAAAAAGCCCCGGCUAACUUCGUGCCAGCCGCCGCGGUAA
RNAcentral lists this ribosomal RNA (448 nucleotides) under uncultured bacterium. Its description in RNAcentral is "partial 16S ribosomal RNA". It matches the Rfam family "Bacterial small subunit ribosomal RNA", at positions 29 to 523 of the family's 1533-position model. The record is from RNAcentral.